CCUACGGGAGGCUGCAGUAGGGAAUAUUGCUCAAUGGGGGAAACCCUGAAGCAGCAACGCCGCGUGGAGGAUGAAGGUUUUCUGAUUGUAAACUCCUUUUGUUAGAGAAGAUAAUGACGGUAUCUAACGAAUAAGCACCGGCUAACUCCGUGCCAUCAGCCGCGGUAACACGGAGGGUGCAAGCGUUACUCGGAAUCACUGGGCGUAAAGAGCGCGUAGGCGGGAUAGCAAGUCAGAUGUGAAAUCCUAUGGCUUAACCAUAGAACUUCAUUUGAAAAUGUUAUUCUAGAGUAUGGGAGAGGUAGGUGGAAUUCUUGGUGUAGGGGUAAAAUCCGUAGAGAUCAAGAGGAAUACUCAUUGCGAAGGCGACCUGCUAGAACAUAACUGACGCUGAUGCGCGAAAGCGUGGGGAGCAAACAGGAUUAGAUACCCUAGUAGUC
This 440-nucleotide ribosomal RNA is filed under the name uncultured bacterium. RNAcentral's name for it is "partial 16S ribosomal RNA". It matches the Rfam family "Bacterial small subunit ribosomal RNA", at positions 338 to 795 of the family's 1533-position model. The record is from RNAcentral.